This 253-nucleotide ribosomal RNA is filed under the name uncultured bacterium. Its description in RNAcentral is "partial 16S ribosomal RNA". It matches the Rfam family "Bacterial small subunit ribosomal RNA", at positions 524 to 776 of the family's 1533-position model. The record is from RNAcentral.
UACAGAGGGUGCGAGCGUUAAUCGGAAUUACUGGGCGUAAAGCGCGCGUAGGCGGCUUUGCAAGUCGGGUGUGAAAUCCCCAAGCUUAACUUGGGAACUGCAUUCGAGACUGCAUUGCUAGAGUAUGGGAGAGGGAAGUGGAAUUUCCGGUGUAGCGGUGAAAUGCGUAGAUAUCGGGAGGAACACCAGUGGCGAAGGCGACUACCUGGCCUGUUCUUGACGCUGAGGCGCGAAAGCUAGGGGAGCAAACGGG